UACGUAGGGACCAAGCGUUGUUCGGAUUUACUGGGCGUAAAGGGCGCGUAGGCGGCGUGUUAAGUCAGCUGUGAAAUCUCCAAGCUUAACUUGGAACGGUCAGCUGAUACUGAUGUGCUAGAGUGCAGAAAGGGCAAUCGGAAUUCUUGGUGUAGCGGUGAAAUGCGUAGAUAUCUGGAGGAACACCGGUGGCGAAGGCGGCAUCCUGGACCAACACUGACACUGAGGAGCGAAAGCCAGGGGAGCAAACGGG
Molecule: ribosomal RNA, 253 nt
Filed under: uncultured bacterium
Lineage: Bacteria
Description: partial 16S ribosomal RNA
Rfam family: Bacterial small subunit ribosomal RNA
Source: RNAcentral